RNAcentral lists this ribozyme (107 nucleotides) under Ambivirus sp. Its description in RNAcentral is "hairpin ribozyme". It matches the Rfam family "Hairpin ribozyme 1 from viruses-like metatranscriptomes". The record is from RNAcentral. RNAcentral also lists the same sequence under 1 other name.
CUGUUGAGCUGGGACAACCGUGGAUUGCAUCGUCGCUGAUGUUGGCCACCCAGUGAGGCAUACCAGGGAAACACUUGGGACUAGCAAUCCAAGGCACAUUAACUGGU